AACGAACGCUGGCGGCAUGCCUAACACAUGCAAGUCGAACGAGACCUUCGGGUCUAGUGGCGCACGGGUGCGUAACGCGUGGGAACCUGCCCUUAGGUUUGGAAUAACUCCCCGAAAGGGGUGCUAAUACCGGAUAAUGUCUUCGGACCAAAGAUUUAUCGCCUUUGGAUGGGCCCGCGUUGGAUUAGCUAGUUGGUAGGGUAAAAGCCUACCAAGGCGACGAUCCAUAGCUGGUCUGAGAGGAUGAUCAGCCACACUGGGACUGAGACACGGCCCAGACUCCUACGGGAGGCAGCAGUGGGGAAUAUUGUACAAUGGGCGAAAGCCUGAUCCAGCAAUGCCGCGUGAGUGAUGAAGGCCUUAGGGUUGUAAAGCUCUUUUACCCGGGAUGAUAAUGACAGUACCGGGAGAAUAAGCUCCGGCUAACUCCGUG
RNAcentral lists this ribosomal RNA (433 nucleotides) under uncultured bacterium. RNAcentral's name for it is "partial 16S ribosomal RNA". It matches the Rfam family "Bacterial small subunit ribosomal RNA", at positions 29 to 507 of the family's 1533-position model. The record is from RNAcentral.